This 984-nucleotide ribosomal RNA is filed under the name Triticum aestivum (bread wheat). RNAcentral describes it as "partial small subunit ribosomal RNA". Lineage: Eukaryota; Viridiplantae; Streptophyta; Magnoliopsida; Poales; Poaceae. The record is from RNAcentral.
AUGCACCCCUACAAAACCACGGAAAUCCAUAAUUUUUCACAACACAGAGGAAGAGCACACAGACACAGACAAGCAGUAGACCACGCGCCCACAGCCUCAGCCUCAGGUCUCCCUUCGCGCACCGCAGCCACCACCAAGUGCAACCAAUCCCCCGACAAAACCCCAUCCACUCCUUUAUCAGCGUUUCCCUCCCUUUCCUCCGCUCCCCUCCAUCCAUCCUCAGCCGCCUCUUCGCCGGCCGGCCAGCCAGCCAUGGCAAAUGCUUCCCUCCAGUCCUUCCUCCCCCAGCACCACCAUUCUUUCCUCAGCAGCGCCACCCACGACGGCUCCCCUCCCGCGCUCCUCAAGCUCACCACCACCACCGCCAGCAACAGCAUUUCAUUCAAGCUCUUCGCCAGCGGCUCCUCCUCGGUGACCACAACCGCCAACUCGCCGGCCCCGACUCCGGCGGCGACAACCUCGCCGCCCACCCCCUCGCUGGAGCUCCUGGGCCAGCAGCUGGCGGCGGGGGACUACCGGCAGGCCGACGAGACCACCCGGGCCCUCCUCAUCGUCCUCGCCGGCGAGGCCGCGCGCCGCCGAGGGUACGUCUUCUUCUCGGAGGUCCAGUUCAUCUCCGUGGAGGACCUGCGCGCCGUGGACGCGCUCUGGCUGGAGCACAGCGGCGGCAGGAUCGGGUGGAUGAAGAAGCUGGACACCGAGGUGGAGCAGUUCAACUACAGGGCCUUCCCGGACGAGUUCAUCUGGGAGCUCACCGACGACACGCCGGAGGGCCACCUGCCCCUCACCAACGCCCUCAGGGGCACGCGACUCCUGGAGAACAUCUUCACCCACCCCGCCUUCGACUGCGAGGAAGAGGAGGCAGCUGCAGCAGAUGAGGAGGCUGGCACGGGCAGUGCCACUGGUCAGAAUAACAAGGAUGACAAGAAAAGCAGGGGGAGGUCAAAGAGUUUGACAGAUUUCAAGCCCGACUACUCCUUUUAA